Molecule: ribosomal RNA, 500 nt
Filed under: uncultured bacterium
Lineage: Bacteria
Description: partial 16S ribosomal RNA
Rfam family: Bacterial small subunit ribosomal RNA
Source: RNAcentral
AUUGAACGCUGGCGGAAUGCUUUACACAUGCAAGUCGAACGGCAGCACGGACUUCGGUCUGGUGGCGAGUGGCGAACGGGUGAGUAAUGUAUCGGAACGUGCCCAGUCGUGGGGGAUAACGUAGGGAAACUUACGCUAAUACCGCAUACGCUCUAUGGAUGAAAGCGGGGGAUCCGAAGACCUCGCGCGAUUGGAGUGGCCGAUAUCAGAUUAGGUAGUGGGUGGGGUAAAGGCCCACCAAGCCAACGAUCUGUAGCUGGUCUGAGAGGACGACCAGCCACACUGGAACUGAGACACGGUCCAGACUCCUACGGGAGGCAGCAGUGGGGAAUUUUGGACAAUGGGCGAAAGCCUGAUCCAGCCAUUCCGCGUGCAGGAUGAAGGCCCUCGGGUUGUAAACUGCUUUUGUACAGAACGAAAAGGUUUCUACUAAUACUAGGAGCUCAUGACGGUACUGUAAGAAUAAGCACCGGCUAACUACGUGCCAGCCGCCGCCGUAA